RNAcentral lists this long non-coding RNA (1333 nucleotides) under Calidris pugnax (ruff). RNAcentral's name for it is "lncRNA (ENSCPUG00000006417.1)". Lineage: Eukaryota; Metazoa; Chordata; Aves; Charadriiformes; Scolopacidae. The record is from RNAcentral.
GCCGGUCCCCAGGCUGGCUGUCAGGGCCUCCAGGAGCUGCCCCAGGUCCCUCAGGCACCUCCUCUCCCCGGCGCCGAGGCCCAGGCGACGGCUGAGGGGCCGGCACCGGCGGGGCACACGCGGGCGGCCAGGCCUGGCGGCCACGCUACCGGGCCAGCACACCCAGAGACGGCGGCGGCGGCAACCCUCCUCCCACCCCGUCUCCCCUCUCCGGCCUCACCAUGGCGGCAGCGGAGCCUUCCUGACCGACUUAUUCCCGGGCGAGGGGCGGCGCGGAGCCCAGCGAACAGCGGUGAGCCAGGAGGUAGCGGCGGUACCGGCGGCGGCGGCGGGGGCAGAGGAGGGCGCGGCGGCGGCGGGGCGCUUAUAUAGGGUAUGGCGGCACCGCCUCCAUCCGGGCGCUGCGGGACCUUUCACCCGGGCAGACCGGGCCCGGAAGCACCGGGGAGGAGAAACCGGGGCUCCUUGGGCGGCGGGAGGUGGUGGUGGCCCCGACGGCGAGUGGAGGGGAGGAAGGGGCCGAAAGCCGGUUUUUAGGGCAAAAGAGGGGUGAGGCCCGGCCGCCCCCCCCCCUUCUCUCCUUCCCUCCCCGGUCCGGGCGCCUCUCCCCUCCGCCCGCCCUUCCCGGCCGCCGCGGGCCCCGCUCCCCGCCGCGGCCUGCUGCGGGCCGGCCGGCGCUGGAGAAGCCGGGGGGGAAAGCCGGUCCCCAGGCUGGCUGUCAGGGCCUCCAGGAGCUGCCCCAGGUCCCUCAGGCACCUCCUCUCCCCGGCGCCGAGGCCCAGGCGACGGCUGAGGGGCCGGCACCGGCGGGGCACACGCGGGCGGCCAGGCCUGGCGGCCACGCUACCGGGCCAGCACACCCAGAGACGGCGGCGGCGGCAACCCUCCUCCCACCCCGUCUCCCCUCUCCGGCCUCACCAUGGCGGCAGCGGAGCCUUCCUGACCGACUUAUUCCCGGGCGAGGGGCGGCGCGGAGCCCAGCGAACAGCGAUCUCUCCAAUCCAGAUUUGUCCACUUGAGGCAGCACCGCUCAGCACUGGUUGUCCUGAUUUGUGGUACUUGGGACAGAACAGCCAGUUGAGGAAGACCACGAUCCUUCAUAGCACUUGUUGGGAGGUGGCAUGUGCUCAAAUAAUAUCCACAGGCGUCUCUGAACGUAGCAAACCGUUUUAACAACGGAACUGGCAAUGCCCCCCGGGAUGCAGGCUGGUUUGCUGCGCUUGACUCGCUGGCUUCUGGAUGGACACCUUGUCCUGGGAGCGUUUGGGAACCGUAGGAACUCCCACAACACUGUCCUAAUAAAGAUUUCGGAGCUCUCUCCUCUCCUUGUGUC